Molecule: ribosomal RNA, 265 nt
Filed under: uncultured bacterium
Lineage: Bacteria
Description: partial 16S ribosomal RNA
Rfam family: Bacterial small subunit ribosomal RNA
Source: RNAcentral
GUCCACGCCCUAAACGAUGUCUACUGGUUGUUGGGGGUUUGACACUCUCAGUAACGAAGCUAACGCGUGAAGUCUACCGCCUGGGGAGUACGGCCGCAAGGUUAAAACUCAAAGGAAUUGACGGGGACCCGCACAAGCGGUGGAUUAUGUGGAUUAAUUCGAUGCAACGCGAAAAACCUUACCUACCCUUGACAUGUCCUGGAGGCCCCUGAGAGGGGGCUGUGCCCGAAAGGGAACGGGAACACAGGUGCUGCAUGGCUGUCGU